ACGAACGCUGGCGGCGUGCCUAAUACAUGCAAGUUGAGCGCUGAAGGUUGGUACUUGUACCAACUGGAUGAGCAGCGAACGGGUGAGUACCGCGUGGGGAAUCUGCCUUUGAGCGGGGGACAACAUUUGGAAACGAAUGCUAAUACCGCAUAAAAACUUUAAACACAAGUUUUAAGUUUGAAAGAUGCAAUUGCAUCACUCAAAGAUGAUCCCGCGUUGUAUUAGCUAGUUGGUGAGGUAAAGGCUCACCAAGGCGAUGAUACAUAGCCGACCUGAGAGGGUGGUCGGCCCACUUGGGACUGAGCAACGGCCCAAACCCCUACGGGAGGCAGCAGGAGGGAAUCUUCGGGAAUGGACGAAAGUCUGACCGAGCAACGCCGCGGGAGUGAAGAAGGUUUUCGGAUCGUAAAACUCUGUUGGUAGAGAAGAACGUUGGUGAGAGUGGAAAGCUCAUCAAGUGACGGUAACUACCCAGAAAGGGACGGCUAACUACGUG
This 496-nucleotide ribosomal RNA is filed under the name uncultured bacterium. Its description in RNAcentral is "partial 16S ribosomal RNA". It matches the Rfam family "Bacterial small subunit ribosomal RNA", at positions 29 to 507 of the family's 1533-position model. The record is from RNAcentral.